RNAcentral lists this long non-coding RNA (763 nucleotides) under Citrus maxima (pomelo). RNAcentral's name for it is "long non-coding RNA (CMAX_LNC000373)". The record is from RNAcentral. Lineage: Eukaryota; Viridiplantae; Streptophyta; Magnoliopsida; Sapindales; Rutaceae.
GCAGACCCACAAGCCAGAAUUUUACAUUGGAUAGAAUUCUUUCGAUUAGAAUGCCAACUUUCCCGAAUAACCUCACUGCAAUCCGCCUCACGCAUCCAUAUAUUUUCGAACCGAAAAUGCCUAUUCCUCGUAACAUAUUGAGCUGGACUAGGAUCAAAAAAUAUAGGGAGGUGGUCAGAAUAAGAAGAUUUUAAACUAUAUACCUUUGCUCUGGUGAAACGCUGCAGCCACGCCUCAGAAGCAAAGGCUCUGUCAAGUCUUUCUUCAACCCAUCGAUCAGUUCCCCUAGCCCUCUCCCAAGUAUACUAAUAUCCCUCGACACCAAGAUCAAUCAAAUUGCAGUCUUCAAUAGCUCUCUAGAAGCCCAUUAACUUCCAAUUAGGAUGAACAAUUUUACCCCUCUUCUCAUUUGCCGUCAAAAGAUCAUUAAAAUCCCCUAUGCAUAGCCAUGGAAGAGAGGAUGAAGUAGAGAGUAAGCGGAGCAAGUCCCACGAUUCCCGCCUCCUGCUAGUCUCAGGAUAGCCAUAAAAGCCAGUCAGCCUCCACUUGCCUAUCUCCUGAACUUCAAUUUCAGCAUCUAUAAAAUUGGUAGCAUACUUUAGAAGCUUCACAGAACUAGUUGUCUGCCAAAGAAGCACGAGUCCUCCGCUUCGGCCCACUCGUUCAACAACAAAAAGCUCGUCAUAGCCCAACUGUCUUUUAAUACUUUCGAGUUUACUUUUACUACAUAACGUUUCUAUAAGGAAUAUAAAAGAAGGUUUCU